Megalops atlanticus (tarpon) is the source of this 72-nucleotide non-coding RNA. Lineage: Eukaryota; Metazoa; Chordata; Actinopteri; Elopiformes; Megalopidae. The record is from the annotation of a GenBank genome assembly.
AGCAGUGUGGCGCAGUGGUAAGGAGCAGGGCUCAUAACCGGAAGGUUGCUGGUUCAGUUCCCCCCACUGGUG